Long non-coding RNA from Oncorhynchus masou masou (cherry salmon), 1083 nucleotides. RefSeq lists it as uncharacterized. The record is from RefSeq and is a predicted model, not a curated record. Lineage: Eukaryota; Metazoa; Chordata; Actinopteri; Salmoniformes; Salmonidae. The transcript has 3 exons.
AAUUUCCAUAACAACCUGCAGUGGCAAAAAAGACGGAGCGAGCGAGCGGAGAGAGAAGGGCUGCGGCAGCCAGAUGUUUCCGAGCUGUUGCUACUCAACUCCAGCUACGGGAGAGGCGUCUGACUGGCAGCACAAAAGCCAAUAGUGCUCGUGAUAAGAAAAAUGAAGGCAAAUUGGAAGCAGCCGCUGAAGGGGGAAGAGGGAGGGAUAUCUUCUCGGCGUAGGUUGACACCAGGCAACAGUGAGAAGGCAGAAAAAAGGCUAAGCGAACUGGUUCCCUGAACAGACUGGCGCAGAGCACAGAGUGAGCGCAAGGUGUCGUGGGUACUGUAGUCAGGCUUCGACUAGUGGCGCGUGGAACAGGUGCAUUAUGUUAUUCAUAUUCUUGAAAGAAAAACUUUUGUCACCGGUAACACAACUAGGACUGCAACGACAAGGUCUGCGAAUAUAAGGCAGUUGACGCGUUGUGGAAGCAUGCAAAGUAAAUCAAGAUGCUGGCUGGAACAGUGUUGUGCCAAAAACAGAGAUGUUUGAUACGGAAAAGAGCGAGCGAGAGCUCAGUGAGAAAAGGCCCGUCUCUAUCUACAGUUAUUAUACUACAGCCUUCUGCAUUCCUUCCUCUUGGGGUCACUGUGGAUUCCAUGUUUGGACUCCACUGCUCUCUGAUCGUCAAAGUACAGGCAGAACAUAAUUGAUAAUGAUCGACACUCGCUAUUGCAGUCAAAUAUUCAACAUACAUUUUGUUAAUAAUGAUAAAUUAAUAAAUAGUGCAUCAUGAUAAAUCAAUUAUUGAUUUAUUCCAAAAUGUAUACCUUUUACUGCAGAUGACAUAGUGAUUUGUCAAUGUUCCUUAUAAGGUGUUGAUUCAUUUGUUUCGUUGUUGCACUUUGUUUGAAUGACGUCGAUGCCAAAAGGCAAUGGCUUUUAUAUACUCUCACAAAAGUUAUGUUAGGAUUUUGUUAUGUAGUUCUAUUAGAGAUUUCAAGCUAAAAGAAGAGGCAACUUGUUCAUGAAUUGUGGUGUCAUUUGGUCAUGGCAUUUUGGAAAAAAAUGUACUUUCUAGAUGUACCAUAAUACAGACAA